This 253-nucleotide ribosomal RNA is filed under the name uncultured bacterium. RNAcentral describes it as "partial 16S ribosomal RNA". It matches the Rfam family "Bacterial small subunit ribosomal RNA", at positions 524 to 776 of the family's 1533-position model. The record is from RNAcentral.
UACGUAGGGUGCAAGCGUUAAUCGGAAUUACUGGGCGUAAAGCGUGCGCAGGCGGUUAUGUAAGGCAGAUGGGAAAUCCCCGGGCUCAACCUGGGAACUGCAUUUGUGACUGCAUAGCUAGAGUACGGUAGAGGGGGAUGGAAUUCCGCGUGUAGCAGUGAAAUGCGUAGAUAUGCGGAGGAACACCGAUGGCGAAGGCAAUCCCCUGGACCUGUACUGACGCUCAUGCACGAAAGCGUGGGGAGCAAACAGG